ACGGAAGGCAGCAGUGGGGAAUAUUGCACAAUGGGGGAAACCCUGAUGCAGCGACGCCGCGUGAGUGAAGAAGUAUUUCGGUAUGUAAAGCUCUAUCAGCAGGAAAGAAAAUGACGGUACCUGACUAAGAAGCCCCGGCUAACUACGUGCCAGCAGCCGCGGUAAUACGUAGGGGGCAAGCGUUAUCCGGAUUUACUGGGUGUAAAGGGAGCGUAGACGGCUUUGCAAGUCUGAAGUGAAAGCCCGGGGCUCAACCCCGGAACUGCCUUGGAAACUGUAGAGCUAGAGUGCAGGAGAGGUAAGUGGAAUUCCUAGUGUAGCGGUGAAAUGCGUAGAUAUUAGGAGGAACACCAGUGGCGAAGGCGGCUUACUGGACUGUAACUGACGUUGAGGCUCGAAGGCGUGGGGAGCAAACAGGAUUAGAUACCCUGGUA
Molecule: ribosomal RNA, 434 nt
Filed under: uncultured Lachnospiraceae bacterium
Lineage: Bacteria; Bacillati; Bacillota; Clostridia; Lachnospirales; Lachnospiraceae
Description: partial 16S ribosomal RNA
Rfam family: Bacterial small subunit ribosomal RNA
Source: RNAcentral